RNAcentral lists this long non-coding RNA (311 nucleotides) under Homo sapiens (human). Its description in RNAcentral is "HSALNT0402465". The record is from RNAcentral. Lineage: Eukaryota; Metazoa; Chordata; Mammalia; Primates; Hominidae.
GGACACUGGGGGCACCCGUGCACUGAGCACCCACCCCUCAGAGCUCAGCCCCCUGCUGGGCACCCUCCACAGCAGGUCCAAGCCUCGUGAGCUGUCCCUCUCACACCACGUCUGCUGGGCACCCUCCAUGGCAGGUCCAAGCCCUGUGAACCAUCCCUCUCACACCACGUCUGCCGGGCACCCUCCAUGGCAGGUCCAAGCCUCGUGAGCCGUCCCUCUCACGCCACGUCUGCCGGGCACCCUCCACGGCAGGUCCGAGCUUUGUGAACCGUCCCUCUCACGUCUGCUUUGAGGGUUUGUGUCAAUGGGGC